Molecule: ribosomal RNA, 117 nt
Filed under: Candidatus Rokuibacteriota bacterium
Lineage: Bacteria; Candidatus Rokuibacteriota
Source: RNAcentral
CCCGGUGGCAUUGCCGGAGGGGCCACACCCGUUCCCAUCCCGAACACGGAAGUUAAGCCCUCCUGGGCCGAUGGUACUGCGCUGGCAACGGCGCGGGAGAGUAGGUCGCUGCCGGGU